AUUAUUUUGGCAGAUUAGUGCAUUAAAUUUAGAAUUUAAUUAUGUAAUGAAAUUACAAAUAAU
Molecule: transfer RNA, 63 nt
Filed under: Orphnebius sp. 1 HE-2012
Lineage: Eukaryota; Metazoa; Arthropoda; Insecta; Coleoptera; Staphylinidae
Description: tRNA-Leu
Source: RNAcentral